This 858-nucleotide ribosomal RNA is filed under the name Propionibacterium sp. 434-HC2. RNAcentral describes it as "bacterial SSU rRNA". It matches the Rfam family "Bacterial small subunit ribosomal RNA", at positions 43 to 873 of the family's 1533-position model. Lineage: Bacteria; Bacillati; Actinomycetota; Actinomycetes; Propionibacteriales; Propionibacteriaceae. The record is from RNAcentral.
CGCGCUACCAUCAGUCGAACGGAAAGGCCCUGCUUUUGUGGGGUNCUCGAGNUGGCGAACGGGUGAGCUAACACGNUGAGUAACCUGCCCUUGACUUUGGGAUAACUUCAGGAAACUGGGGCUAAUACCGGAUAGGAGCUCCUGCUGCAUGGUGGGGGUUGGAAAGUUUCGGCGGUUGGGGAUGGACUCGCGGCUUAUCAGCUUGUUGGUGGGGUAGUGGCUUACCAAGGCUUUGACGGGUAGCCGGCCUGAGAGGGUGACCGGCCACAUUGGGACUGAGAUACGGCCCAGACUCCUACGGGAGGCAGCAGUGGGGAAUAUUGCACAAUGGGCGGAAGCCUGAUGCAGCAACGCCGCGUGCGGGAUGACGGCCUUCGGGUUGUAAACCGCUUUCGCCUGUGACGAAGCGUGAGUGACGGUAAUGGGUAAAGAAGCACCGGCUAACUACGUGCCAGCAGCCGCGGUGAUACGUAGGGUGCGAGCGUUGUCCGGAUUUAUUGGGCGUAAAGGGCUCGUAGGUGGUUGAUCGCGUCGGAAGUGUAAUCUUGGGGCUUAACCCUGAGCGUGCUUUCGAUACGGGUUGACUUGAGGAAGGUAGGGGAGAAUGGAAUUCCUGGUGGAGCGGUGGAAUGCGCAGAUAUCAGGAGGAACACCACUGGCGAAGGCGGUUCUCUGGGCCUUUCCUGACNCUGAGGAGCGAAAGCGUGGGGAGCGAACAGGCUUAGAUACCCCUGGUAGUCCACGCUGUAAACGGUGGGUACUAAGGUGUGGGGUCCAUUCCACGGGCUUCCGUGCCGUAGCUAACUCUUUUGAGUUACCCCCCCCCUGGGGGAGUACAGCCCCUCUAAGGGUCUAAAA